AGCAAAUCUGUGGAAAAAAAAAAGAAAAGAAGAAAAAGAAAAAGAAAAAAAAAUUGGUCUCACAGAUCUAGAAAAAAAAAGAGUGAUCCACGAAAAUGUGAAGCAAAAAAUAGCCCGAAUAAGCUGUGGAAUACUACGUUAUCCCCUUGUUUGAACCAUGUGGGGAUGAAGUGUUGUCUAAAUAACGAUGAUCAUGAUGAAGAACCUUCCCAUGAGGCAAACAAAAAGAGCCUGAAAAAACCCGGAGAAGUUCAAGAGAACAAAAAUUCUGACAUUCACCCUGGCGAGACGAGCAGCGAGCAUGGCUUGAAAACUGAAGUGAAGAAGAUGGGAUAGAUAAUGCAUUUAUGCAAGAGAGAUCUGGGCUGUUGGAGGAAGAGAACAAGAAGCUUCAUGAUGGGCUCUUUGGUAAAGCUUGGAGAUCUCGAAGAAGCCAAGGCUUUGCUAGAUGACUUUACUUCUACGACUUCAGAGUGCCGAACAUACUGCUGAUGGGAUACUGUCAUAAGGGUCUCCCCGAUAAAUCCGAGGCUCGGUUUCGGGAUAUUACCAACAGGGGAUAAAUACUGACUUCCCUUCCCAAAAGCCAUCGAUCUUCUACAGCAUCUUCUUCUUCUUCUGGAGCACUCUAAUCAGCUGCUUGCAAUGAUUGUUGAGAACAAGAAGCCAAAAAAGAGUUGUGAAGCAGUUGAUCAUGCUAAGAGAUUGGAGGAGGAUUCAAUGAUUUUGCUUAAAGGGUUAUCAUGAUGUCAGCCAGCACUAGGGCAGAAAGUGGGGAGAAAAAAAGGAAAAAAAAUAGAAAAAGAAAAAAAAAGAGAUAGCAGAUCUGUGGAAAAAAAAAGAAAGAAAAAAUUGGUCUCACAGAUCUAGAAUAAAAAAUAGAGUGAUCCACGAAAAUGUGAAGCAAAAAAUAGCCCGAAUAAGCUGUGGAAUACUACGUUAUCCCCUUGUUUGAACCAUGUGGGGAUGAAGUGUUGUCUAAAUAACGAUGGUCAUGAUGAAGAAUCUUCCCAUGAGGCAAACAAAAAGAGCCUAAAAAAAACGGAGUAGUUCAAGAAAGCAAAAAUUCUGACAUUCACCAUGGCGAGACGAGCAGCGAGCAUGGCUUGAAAACUGAAGUGAAGAAGAUGGGAUAGAUAAUGCAUUUAUGCAAGAGAGAUCUGGGCUGUUGGAGGAAGAGAACAAGAAGCUUCAUGAUGGGCUCUUUGGUAAAGCUUGGAGAACUCGAAGAAGCCAAGUCCGUGGGAGAUGACUAGACUUCUACUUGCCACACAUAAAACUUCAGAGUGUCGAACGUACUCCUGAUUGGCUACUGUCAGAAGGUUCUCUCUGAUAAAUCUGAGGCUCGGCUACGGAAUAUUAGCAAAAGGGGAUAAAUACCGACUUCCCUUCCCAAAGGCCAUUGAUAUUCCACGGCUUCUUCUUCGUCGAUGUUUAGCCCUUCUUUCGAUAAGUGCUUCCAGAGCACUCUUAUCAGCCGCAUGACAUGAUUGUUGAGAACCAAAAGCCAAAAAAGAGUUGUGAAGCAGUUGAUCAUGCUAAGAGAUUGGAAGAGGAUUCAAUGAUUUUGCUUAAAGGGUUAUCAUGAUGUCAGCCAGCACUAGGGCCGAAAGUGGGGAGGAAAAAAGGAAAAAAAAAGAAGAAAAAAAGAGAUAGCAGAUCUGUGGAAAAAAAAGAAAAGAAAAAAUUGGUCUCACAGAUCUAGAAAAAAAAAUAGAGUGAUCCACGAAAAUGUGAAGCAAAAAAUAGCCCGAAUAAGCUGUGGAAUACUAUGUUAUCCCUUGUUUGAACCAUGCGGGGAUGAAGUGUUGUCUAAAUAACGAUGAUCAUGAUGAAGAAUCUUCCCAUGAGGCAAACAAAAAGAGCCUAAAAAACGGAGAAGUUCAAGAGUGCAAAAAUUCUGACAUUCACCAUGGCGAGACGAGCAGCGAGCAUGGAUUGAAAACUGAAGUGAAGAAGAUGGGAUAGAUAAUGCAUUUAUGCAAGAGAGAUCUGGGCUGUUAGAGGAAGAGAACAAGAAGCUUCAUGAUGGGCUCUUUGGUAAAGCUUGGAGAACUCGAAGAAGCCAAGUCAGUGGGAGAUGACUAGACUUCUACUUGCCACACAUACGACUUCAUAGUGUCGAACGUACUCCUGAUUGGAUACUGUCAGAAGGUUCUCUCUGAUAAACCUGAGGCUCGGCUACGGAAUAGCAAAAGGGGAUAAAUACCGACUUCCCUUCCCAAAUUCCGAUUUUCAUCAGGGCCAUUGAUAUUCCACGGUUUCUUCUUCGUCGAUGUUUAGCCCUUCUUUCGAUAAGUGCUUCCAGAGCACUCUUAUCAGCCGCAUGACAUGAUUGUUGAGAACCAAAAGCCAAAAAAGAGUUGUGAAGCAGUUGAUCAUGCUAAGAGAUUGGAGGAGGAUCCAAUGCUUUUGCUUAGAGGGAUAUCAUGCUGUCCAUUUGGACUCUUUAUGGUUUAUGGACUUGGUGCUGGUUGCAUUACCUGAGAUUAGGUUGAUCCAUUCAUGCUAGUUGUGCUAGUUAGGUUGAUCCAAUCCGUUAGACUUAUUGUAUUGGUGGCAGAAUAUUUAUUGAUCAUCUGCAACAAUGAAAGGCUGAUCCAUUCAUGCUAGUUGUGCUAGUUAUGUACAUUUGUUUGAGACCAUAAUGUGGGUGGGUGUCUUUGUGACUUAUGAUUAGAAUUUCCUUGUCAUAGUGAUGAUAAAGUUUUGAUAACGUAUUAUACAUGCCACUUAAUUCUAGAUAUAGGAUAUGUUACAUUUAUAUGUUCUUUUAGGUUUUUAAAAUUAUAAAUAAAUUAUUUUUGGCUUAAUUAUAUCGAUGUGAGCUUUUUACUGUGAGUUCUUUAUGAGACGGGAAAAUUCUUUGAAAAAAUCAGGAUCCUAUACAUUCUGAAAUUAUCUAGCUACUCUCAUCCUGUUACUGAUAUUCUUUGAUCUCUCGUUGAGAAUUUUCUAUUUUUAAUGCCAAAACGAAAAUGAAGACUGAGAUUUAUAGCACCGUUUAUGAGAAAUCAUUAUUGUUAUGGUCCAUCAAGUUUUGUGAAGUUUUAUGAGCAAGAUCUGAUUCUUAUGAUGUCAACCUGGAGGGUAUGAACACGAAAGGAUGAGGUCACCAAAUCUCUGACACCAGAAUAGGUUCAUGAUUUCAAAGAUCAAUAAUUACUCGUAUAUGAGUGUUUUACAGCUUGGUUUAAUAGCUAAACCAUCACACUUAUGACAUGUUUAUUUUCCCUCAUAUUUGGGCAAUUGACACAAGAGAUGCAUUGGGCUUGUUCAAAUGGCUUGUGAAACAGAUAAACUUGUCAUUUUCCUAGGGGAAAGACAAUAUGGGGCGGUCAGUAAGCAUCCUUGAUAUGGAUUUGAGUCAGUUAAGUUAUGCUGACGAGCGGCUCGAGCACCAUUUCGAUCAACAUCUCGUCAAACGUGAGCAAGAAAAUAUGAGGUAGAUGGAAAUGACUGGAAGAGGAUUUUGAAGUCAACCAAGAUUGUGUGGAUCCUUUUGAGAAGAUCAGACACCUAUUGGAUUCAUAUCAUUGCUGGAUAUAUUUUCAAAUCUUCCCAAAGCUACAUAUGUAACAUUUUCAGCUAAACAUCAGUACUAACCGGGAGAAAGAGGGUGUAACAUUCAGAAUUCGGCAUCAUGCCCGGGAGAUGAAGUAAGCCGGAUGAAAUGCUUGUCUUCUUCCUUUGUUCCAUGCUGUAGCUUUGUUUCUAAUAAAAUUUUUUUUAUCAACUUUAUUUGCCUAUUUCGGUUUGGUGCUAUGUUUAAGUUAAAUGUGAAAAAGAAAAGAGAGUGGAUAGAGGGAAUGAAAUGAGGAAGUUGGCUAUAAGAAUAAAAGUGAUUCAAACAAAGAAAGAAGAUAAAGAGCUGUUGGAGCAGACGAAAUCAGCCACCUCAAGAGUUGUUGCAAGGGACAAAGGGAGUUGAUAAUGAGGCUGACACAGUUCUAAAGAUGCAGGGGAUGAAGAGAAAACUGCCCAAUCUUGGACAUGCCUGAGAUCCUAUGGCAUGCAAAGCUGACCAGCACACAAGAAAUUGCUUGGGGAGUCAAACAAUGACCACAAAGGAAACAUAUGCAAGGAAUAAUUUGAGAAACGUUGGCCUUCAGUUUAAUCGCCUACCUCUAUCUGACUGCUAAAAGGUUUUGUGAAGUUUUAGGAGCAAGAUCUAAUUCUUAUGAUGUCAACCAGGAGAGGUCACCAAAUCUCUUGACACCUGAAUAGGCAAUUGACACAAGAGAUGCAUUGGCAAUGUUUAUUUAUGUAAGCUUGUUCUAAUGGCCUGUGGAGCAGAUAAACUUGUCACUUUCCUAGGGGAAAGAUAAUAUGGGGCGUUCAGUAAGCAUCCUUUAUAUGGGUUUGAGUCACUUAAGCUGUGCUGACCAGCGGCUCGAGCACCAUUUCAAUCAACAUUUCGUCAAAUAUGAGCAAGAAGUUUAAGUUAAAUGUGAAAAAGAAAAGAGAGUGGAUAGAGGGAAUGAAAUGAGGAAGUUGGCUAUAAGAAUAAAAGAGAUGCAAGCACAGAAAGAAGAUAAAGGCUUGUUGGAGCAGACGAAAUCAGCCACCUCAAGAGUUGUUGCAAGGGAGGAAAGGAGUUGAAAUAGGAGAGGAAUGGGGCUGACACAGUUCUGAAGAUGCAAGGGUAGAAUAGAAAACUUCCCAAUCUUAGACAUGCCUGAGAUCCAAUGACAUGCAAAGCUGACCAGCACACAAGGUAGGCUGAGGUGAAGAAGUGCUUAUGAAGUGAAUCUUUGAAGAUCCCAAACAUUGAUGAUGAACAAAAGAUUCAUAAUAUUAUGGUAAUUGUACUAGAGAAUUUGCUUGCAAAUCUAUUUUCCCUUAAUGUAAAGAGACAUAACAGAAUAUGGUCAGACUAGGUCAUUAGAUAAGAUAAGCAUAAUGUAUCGAGACAUAUAGAAUGUAUAGUGUAUGUAGUGUA
Molecule: long non-coding RNA, 4942 nt
Organism: Salvia splendens (bonfire salvia)
Lineage: Eukaryota; Viridiplantae; Streptophyta; Magnoliopsida; Lamiales; Lamiaceae
Exons: 20
Source: RefSeq, a predicted model, not a curated record